CUUGCUCCUAGAGGCAUUGCAGGCAUGGCUGCUGUGUCACAUGUGUCAGUAGGUGACAGAGAGGAGAGAGGUUAUGUCUACCAUCAGUGUUCUGACCUGUAAAUAGAAUGAACCUUAACAUUCCCUG
Small nucleolar RNA from Arvicanthis niloticus (Nile rat), 127 nucleotides. RefSeq annotates it as small nucleolar RNA SNORA17. Lineage: Eukaryota; Metazoa; Chordata; Mammalia; Rodentia; Muridae. The record is from RefSeq and is a predicted model, not a curated record.